RNAcentral lists this transfer RNA (74 nucleotides) under Mycobacterium tuberculosis. RNAcentral describes it as "tRNA-Cys (GCA) (tRNA-Cys-GCA-1-1)". It matches the Rfam family "tRNA". From Rfam's summary of the family: Transfer RNA (tRNA) molecules are approximately 80 nucleotides in length. Their secondary structure includes four short double-helical elements and three loops (D, anti-codon, and T loops). Lineage: Bacteria; Bacillati; Actinomycetota; Actinomycetes; Mycobacteriales; Mycobacteriaceae. The record is from RNAcentral.
GGUGGAGUGGCCGAGUGGUGGGACAACGGCCUGCAAAGCCGUGCACACGGGUUCGAUUCCCGUCUCCACCUCCA